RNAcentral lists this ribosomal RNA (487 nucleotides) under uncultured Glomus. Its description in RNAcentral is "SSU rRNA". It matches the Rfam family "Eukaryotic small subunit ribosomal RNA", at positions 569 to 1060 of the family's 1831-position model. Lineage: Eukaryota; Fungi; Glomeromycota; Glomeromycetes; Glomerales; Glomeraceae. The record is from RNAcentral.
AGCAGCCGCGGUAAUUCCAGCUCCAAUAGCGUAUAUUAAAGUUGCUGCAGUUAAAAAGCUCGUAGUUGAAUUUCGGGACUAAUAUGUCGGUCGUGCCUCGGUACGUACUGGUAUUUUUGGUUUCUCCCUUCUGACGAACCUUGAUGUCAUUAAUUUGGUGUCUUGGGAAAUCAGGACUGUUACUUUGAAAAAAUUAGAGUGUUUAAAGCAGGCUCACGCUUGAAUACAUUAGCAUGGAAUAAUGAAAUAGGACGUUUGAUUCUAUUUUGUUGGUUUCUAGGAUCGACGUAAUGAUUAAUAGGGAUAGUUGGGGGCAUUAGUAUUCAAUUGUCAGAGGUGAAAUUCUUGGAUUUAUUGAAGACUAACUACUGCGAAAGCAUUUGCCAAGGAUGUUUUCAUUAAUCAAGAACGAAAGUUAGGGGAUCGAAGAUCGAUCAGAUACCGUCGUAGUCUUAACCAUAAACUAUGCCGACUAGGGAUCGGAUGA